This 69-nucleotide transfer RNA is filed under the name Lissemys punctata vittata. RNAcentral's name for it is "transfer RNA-His". It matches the Rfam family "tRNA". Rfam says of the family: Transfer RNA (tRNA) molecules are approximately 80 nucleotides in length. Their secondary structure includes four short double-helical elements and three loops (D, anti-codon, and T loops). The record is from RNAcentral. Lineage: Eukaryota; Metazoa; Chordata; Testudines; Trionychidae.
CUUAUAUAGUUUCAAAUUAAAACAUUAGACUGUGACUCUAAAAACAGGGGUUUAAGUCCCCUUAUAAAC